RNAcentral lists this ribosomal RNA (492 nucleotides) under uncultured bacterium. RNAcentral describes it as "partial 16S ribosomal RNA". It matches the Rfam family "Bacterial small subunit ribosomal RNA", at positions 29 to 507 of the family's 1533-position model. The record is from RNAcentral.
AGUGAACGCUGGCGGUAGGCCUAACACAUGCAAGUCGAACGGCAGCACAGUAAGAGCUUGCUCUUACGGGUGGCGAGUGGCGGACGGGUGAGGAAUACAUCGGAAUCUACUUUUUCGUGGGGGAUAACGUAGGGAAACUUACGCUAAUACCGCAUACGACCUACGGGUGAAAGCAGGGGAUCUUCGUACCUUGCGCGAUUGAAUGAGCCGAUGUCGGAUUAGCUAGUUGGCGGGGUAAAGGCCCACCAAGGCGACGAUCCGUAGCUGGUCUGAGAGGAUGAUCAGCAACACUGGAAGUGAGACACGGUCCAGACUCCUACGGGAGGCAGCAGUGGGGAAUAUUGGACAAUGGGCGCAAGCCUGAUCCAGCCAUACCGCGUGGGUGAAGAAGGCCUUCGGGUUUUAAAGCCCUUUUGUUGGGAAAGAAAAGCAGCAGGUUAAUACCCCGCUGUUCUGACGGUACCCAAAGAAUAAGCACCGGCUAAGUUCGUG